Mesocricetus auratus (golden hamster) is the source of this 1733-nucleotide RNA transcript. It is a transcript of the gene named secretion regulating guanine nucleotide exchange factor, with no coding region annotated. The transcript has 14 exons. NCBI's taxonomy places the organism in Eukaryota, Metazoa, Chordata, Mammalia, Rodentia, Cricetidae. The record is from RefSeq and is a predicted model, not a curated record.
CCCUCCCGGAAGCGCCGUCGGAGCGUGUGCAUGGCGCGCGAGUCCUGUGUCUCGGGGGCUGACUCCGCCGCGGCCGCGCUCUUCGCCUGGGUACGUGGCUCCGCCCCCGCGCUCGGGGAGCGACUGAGGGGGUUCGGAGACCCGGGAGCGCCCGGCGUCUGCGGUGCAAAUAGCUACGGGCAGCUUGGCCUUGGCCACAGGGAAGAUGUGCUUCUGCCCCAGCAACUGAGCAACUUCUGUGAGCCUGGGUGUAUCAAGAGUGUCACAGGAGGAGGGGGCCAUUCUGCAGCUGUCACAGAUGGAGGAAGUCUUUUUGUUUGUGGCCUGAAUAAAGAUGGGCAGCUGGGGCUUGGUCACACAGAAGAUGUUCUGUGUUUUACCAUCUGCAAGCCUCUCCUUGGUUGUCCAAUCCUACAGGUUGCCUGUGGCUGGGAUUUUACUAUCAUGCUCACAGAAACAGGUCAAGUUCUGUCAUGUGGAUCCAAUGCCUUUGGCCAAUUAGGUGUGCCACACGGCCCUCGAAGAUGUGUAGUCCCCCAGGCCAUUGAGCUCCUGAGAGAGAAGGUUGUUUGUGUCGCCGCUGGACUGAGGCAUGCGUUAGCCACUACAGUGAGUGGCAGCGUGUUCCAGUGGGGCACUGGCUUGGCAUCUUCUGGCCGACGCUUGUGUCCUGGGCAGACUCUUCCAUUGUUUUUGACAGCCAAGGAACCAAGCAGAGUGACAGGCCUAGAGAAUUCUACAGCAGUAUGCGUUGUUGCGGGAUCUGAGCACUCCGCCUCAUUAACAGAUACAGGAGAGCUGUUUGUCUGGGGCCGGAACAAGAAUGGGCAGCUGGCUUCCCUGGCUGCGUUCGUCCUUCUGCCCCAGAGAAUAGAUGCAUGUUGCUUUCAGGAUGAAAAGGUCACUGCCAUCUGGAGUGGCUGGACACAUCUGGUUGCUCAGACAGAAACUGGCAAGAUGUUUACCUGGGGUCGAGCAGACUAUGGUCAACUAGGGAGGAGGUUGGAAUCUCCUGAAGGCCAGAAACCCCACAAGCAAGAUUCACAGCUCACCUUCAGGAGGCCACAGAGCAGUGUGCCUUUGCCUCUGCGUUGCCUGACAGGAGCAGCCAAGGAGCCUGCAGUCAGCCAAAGGAAUAUGCCUGAGAGUGUGGGUCAGGCAGAGAGAAACACAGAUCAUCGUGGGAAGGGCAGGAUCAGAGAGAGACGUGAAAGAACUGUCUGUGGACUCAUCACCCCUUCCUUGUCAUGAGAAGAAAUGCCACAGUCAAAGUGGCAAAGAAAGGCCCGACGGGAUAAGGGUUUUCUUCUGUUACCCCCUCCCAAAAGAAGUUGCUGAACCAGAGUCCUUGGUCAAAGACCACUAGGACUAGCUCCUUCUUGCUCCUUUGAACAGUUAUAUUUGUGUUUGAACUAUACCCUCUUAAUUACUGACGUCCACGUGCCGAGGCAAAACUGGAGAAUUCUGAACCCUAGUCCCUCUGCUGCAGAAGGCAUGCCAGCCUUAAGACUGGAGACAUUCUCUCAGUCCUGAUGAAUGUUCUGGGAUGUCUCAGUGGGUCUAAGAGAAGUCUUCAAAGGAGGAAUACACUGCUGCUCUCUUCACCCAGAUUUCUUGUGGAUCAGAGCAUAAUUUGGCAGUAAUUAGUGACAAGUGUUGUUCCUGGGGCUGGAACGAACAUGGCAUGUGUGGAGAUGGCACUGAGUCCAACGUCUGGACUCCAUCCCCAGUAC